RNAcentral lists this ribosomal RNA (438 nucleotides) under uncultured bacterium. RNAcentral describes it as "bacterial SSU rRNA". It matches the Rfam family "Bacterial small subunit ribosomal RNA", at positions 42 to 473 of the family's 1533-position model. The record is from RNAcentral.
UCAGGCCUAACACAUGCAAGUCGAACGGCAGCACGGGUGCUUGCACCUGGUGGAGAGUGGCGAACGGGUGAGUAAUAUAUCGGAACGUGCCCUAGAGUGGGGGAUAACUAGUCGAAAGAUUAGCUAAUACCGCAUACGAUCUACGGAUGAAAGUGGGGGAUCGCAAGACCUCAUGCUCCUGGAGCGGCCGAUAUCUGAUUAGCUAGUUGGUGGGGUAAAAGCCUACCAAGGCGACGAUCAGUAGCUGGUCUGAGAGGACGACCAGCCACACUGGGACUGAGACACGGCCCAGACUCCUACGGGAGGCAGCAGUGGGGAAUUUUGGACAAUGGGGGCAACCCUGAUGCAGCAAUGCCGCGUGUGUAAAGAAGGCCUUCGGGUUGUAAAGCACUUUUGUCAGGAACGAAACGGUGGGGGCUAAUAUCCUCUGCUAAUGAC